This 446-nucleotide long non-coding RNA is filed under the name Gallus gallus (chicken). Lineage: Eukaryota; Metazoa; Chordata; Aves; Galliformes; Phasianidae. The record is from RNAcentral.
UGCGGCGAUUGUUGGUACUGAUAGAACCACGAGUUUUUGUCUCACUGCCUGCAGUGGACACCCUCGUGGUCGGACCUGGGAGCCUAGAAGACUUUUUCUGACCAAGAGUGAAUCGGAUGAUUUUGCUUUGAGAUGAGUCCCUGGGAGAUGCACUUGACUGCAUUUCUGGUUGUGCUUUGAAUGGAUGCUGUGCAGCUUGCUGAGGCUGUUGGCACUGAGUUUGGAGCGAAGCUGGGACUUGCUGCUGCUGCUGCGGCCCAGCCUGGCCCUGAGAUGGAGGCCCUGUGUGCUGGGACACGGAGGGAGCUGGCUGGGACAGAUGGUGCUGUGGUGGCUGUUUCUGUGGCUGCUGCUGCUGUUGCUUGUAUCGAGACAAACUGAAGAAAAGGCCCAAGAUGGCCUUUAGAUUCCCAUUCCGGAUUUCUUCUGCUGACAGCCCCUGUAUG